UGGGGAGUAUUGCGCAAUGGAGGAAACUCUGACGCAGCAACGCCGCGUGAAGGAUGAAGGUUUUCGAAUUGUAAACUUCUGUUCUUGGUGAAGAAAAAAUGACGGUAGCCAAGCAGCAAACUCCGGCUAACUACGUGCCAGCAGCCGCGGUAAUACGUAGGGAGUGAGCGUUGUCCGGAUUUACUGGGUGUAAAGGGUGCGUAGGCGGCUAAGUAAGUCAGGCGUGAAAAUAUAUAGGCUUAACCUAUAGACUGCGUUUGAAACUGCAUAGCUUGAGUGGAGUAGAGGCAGAUGGAAUUUCCAGUGUAGCGGUGAAAUGCGUAGAUAUUGGAAGGAACACCAGUGGCGAAGGCGAUCUGCUGGGCUCUAACUGACGCUGAGGCACGAAAGCAUGGGUAGCAAACAGGAUUAGAUACCC
RNAcentral lists this ribosomal RNA (418 nucleotides) under uncultured bacterium. Its description in RNAcentral is "bacterial SSU rRNA". It matches the Rfam family "Bacterial small subunit ribosomal RNA", at positions 355 to 787 of the family's 1533-position model. The record is from RNAcentral.